Molecule: long non-coding RNA, 1785 nt
Filed under: Coffea arabica (coffee)
Lineage: Eukaryota; Viridiplantae; Streptophyta; Magnoliopsida; Gentianales; Rubiaceae
Description: long non-coding RNA (CARA_LNC004317)
Source: RNAcentral
UUUUUUUUCUUUUUUUUUUUUUUUUUUGCGAUUUUCCUUACAGGAGUAGGGUGAAUUUGCUCACAUGUCCUCCAGCUCUUAUGAACAUUUUGCUUUGUUUUCAACUUAUACUUUCUUCAAUUUCGAUCUUGAGUAAUGAUUUUCAAUUUAGUUCUGGCAGUUUAGUUUCUUGACAAAUCAACCAUGUAUUGAGCCAUGAGUUUCAUAAAAUUAUCAAACUUAUAAUGUAUAAGCUCUGUGAAGAAAAGACGGCAUUACAUGAUUACAUCACUAGUAAUUGAAUGGGAUAUAUACAGUCUAGUGGUUAAGGGGCUAUGUUUUCGAAGGCACUGAAGAUGAUUCAAUCUGAAAUUUUGCCACAUCACUUUGGCUAAUUCAUUUGAUUUUUUCAGUUACUUAUAGUUGUCAACUUGUCAUUCUAUAAAAGAAAUAUAUUUUCAAAAUAUAAGAUGGUAAAUAGAAACCACAGUUUCUUAAUUAAUAUAGCCACUAUUUAAUAAGAAGUGCUUUUUUAUUUUUUAUUUUUUUCCCAAUGGAGAUUUUAAACCUCACAAGAAGAAGAAAGAGGAGGAAAUGAUUGACAAUCAAUCAAAGAUCUUGCAAUUGACUAGUUUUUUUUUUUAAAAAAAAAAAAUUAACUAGUAAGUAGUAGUAUAUAACAUGGCUGAACUGUCUGGGUCAGGAAAAUUCGACGCUGAACAUAUCCACCAUUAUCCAAGUACGGCCCAUUUUAACUUGGGCUUAAUUUUUUGGACCCCCAUAUCAGACCAAGCCAAUCUAUGUAGAUGGCUUGGACCUAGUUCCGUAUAUUCAAAGGACCAUCUCUUACUAAAUAUAGGAUAAAUUACUUAUUACCCUCAAUGCAGAUUUACAUAAUACUAGAUGAACCUCUUAAAGUUUUAAAAUGGUCAUAUAACCCUCGUGGUUUUAUGUAAAUUGUAAAGUAGAAAAUAAACAGAAUGUACAACCAAUUUCAGCAUUUAUACCAAACACAUUUUAAAAGAACAUGUGAUGAAGUCUUAAUAUCCAUAUAACACUCUUAUAAUUUGUAUAAAUUUUCAUUUUAAUCUCUUGUAAUUUUUAUAUUUAUCCACAUAAUUUUCCUAUACUUUUAUACAAGGUUUUAGGGGAGGGGGGAGGAAGGAGAGGAGGAAGAUGGAGGAGAGAAAGAGAGAGGGGGAGAAAGAAAAGAAAGGAGAAAAAAAAAAGAAGAGUCAUCGGGCCUUGAUGCUAGCGCCGGUGGAGUGGCGGUCGGUAGCGGCUAUUGGUGGAGGUGGUGGUAGAAUGAGUUGUGGGGAGGUAGAAGAAGAAAGAAGGGAAAAAUUUUUUAUAUGUGUUUGGGCAUUUGCGGUAUGCAUUUUAAAAAAAGUUUGUAGAGUUUUUUGAGAUAAUUGUAAUUAAAGUUAUUAAAAAAACUCGUAAUCAAAAAACUUAGGUUCCAUACAGACCCUUGAAUAUAAUUAUAUGACUAGAAGCAAGUCACAAAAGAAACUAAACACAGGAAGGGAAGAAAAAAAAAGGAAGUUCCACAGCAAAGAAAACAUGGUCCCAAGUAUUUAGAUGCCAGAACUUGACACUUGCUGCGCAUACACAUUUUUUGCGACAAGUAGCAGAUCAUUUUUCUUUAGCAUUGUAAGACCCGGUAAAACUUCAGUAUCAAUGUCUUCUUUCUUGAUCCCAGAAGGCAAUUCCCAGUCAAAAGAAUACAGAAGAUUGGCAAGUCCAACUUCCACCAUUGCUAGUCCCAGAGAAUAUCCAGGGCAGCCCCUUCGCCCAGCCCCAAAU